ACAUGGCAUCGCUCUAAUAUCUACUGUUUGUACAUUUGAUUAUGCUUUUGAAGCCUAUGAUGCUUCCCAAGUAGGUUCACUCUCUUUGGAACUCUUUGUUCGGGUGCACUGUGUUCUGUGAUUUGCCUAGUGUCUUUGUGUGUUGGUGCGGUACACAUGACAUUUGCUGCUUUUGAUGCACGUCCAACAAGCUUUACCUAUUCUUCCAUUUUAUAACAAAACUUGGGUUGGGGGGGGAUACAGAAAGGAAGAA
Molecule: non-coding RNA, 253 nt
Organism: Pelobates cultripes (western spadefoot toad)
Lineage: Eukaryota; Metazoa; Chordata; Amphibia; Anura; Pelobatidae
Source: the annotation of a GenBank genome assembly